RNAcentral lists this ribosomal RNA (935 nucleotides) under uncultured bacterium. RNAcentral describes it as "bacterial SSU rRNA". It matches the Rfam family "Bacterial small subunit ribosomal RNA", at positions 448 to 1381 of the family's 1533-position model. The record is from RNAcentral.
AAAGUGUGGCACGUGUGCCAUUUUGUAGGUACCAGAAGAAUAAGGACCGGCUAAUUCCGUGCCAGCAACCGCGGUAAUACGGAAGGUCCGGGCGUUAUCCGGAUUUAUUGGGUUUAAAGGGAGCGCAGGCGGCCUGUUAAGCGGGCAGUGAAAGACGGUGGCCCAACCAUCGAGGUGCUGUCCGAACUGACAGGCUUGAGUACGUUCGAGGUAGGCGGAAUUCGUGGUGUAGCGGUGAAAUGCUUAGAUAUCACGAAGAACUCCGAUUGCGAAGGCAGCUUACCAGGACGCCACUGACGCUAAAGCUCGAAAGCGCGGGUAUCGAACAGGAUUAGAUACCCUGGUAGUCCGCGCGGUAAACGAUGGAUGCUCGCUGUUCGGUCUGUUAUGGACUGUGCGGCCAAGCGAAAGCGUUAAGCAUCCCACCUGGGGAGUACGCCGGCAACGGUGAAACUCAAAGGAAUUGACGGGGGCCCGCACAAGCGGAGGAACAUGUGGUUUAAUUCGAUGAUACGCGAGGAACCUUACCCGGGCUUGAAUUGCGGAUGCUGCGGCAAGAGAUUGCCGUGUCCCUUCGGGGCGUCCGUGAAGGUGCUGCAUGGUUGUCGUCAGCUCGUGCCGUGAGGUGUCGGCUUAAGUGCCAUAACGAGCGCAACCCCUUUCUCCAGUUGCCAUCGGGUUAAGCCGGGCACUCUGGAGACACUGCCACCGCAAGGUGUGAGGAAGGUGGGGAUGACGUCAAAUCAGCACGGCCCUUACGUCCGGGGCUACACACGUGUUACAAUGGCAGGCACAGAGAGUCGGCUUGACGCAAGUCUGGUCUAAUCCCCAAAUCCUGCCUCAGUUCGGACUGGGGUCUGCAACCCGACCCCACGAAGCUGGAUUCGCUAGUAAUCGCGCAUCAGCCAUGGCGCGGUGAAUACGUUCCCGGGCCU